UACGUAGGGUGCAAGCGUUAAUCGGAAUUACUGGGCGUAAAGCGUGCGCAGGCGGUUGUGUAAGACAGAUGUGAAAUCCCCGGGCUUAACCUGGGAACUGCAUUUGUGACUGCACGGCUGGAGUGCGGCAGAGGGGGAUGGAAUUCCGCGUGUAGCAGUGAAAUGCGUAGAUAUGCGGAGGAACACCGAUGGCGAAGGCAAUCCCCUGGGCCUGCACUGACGCUCAUGCACGAAAGUGUGGGGAGCAAACAGG
Molecule: ribosomal RNA, 253 nt
Filed under: uncultured bacterium
Lineage: Bacteria
Description: partial 16S ribosomal RNA
Rfam family: Bacterial small subunit ribosomal RNA
Source: RNAcentral